Non-coding RNA from Zootermopsis nevadensis, 726 nucleotides. The record is from RefSeq and is a predicted model, not a curated record. Lineage: Eukaryota; Metazoa; Arthropoda; Insecta; Blattodea; Termopsidae.
UCUGCGUGGCAUCACCAAACGUUUUGUGUGCUUCGGUUGUCGCAAGCAGAGAAACGGCGUUUCUCAUCAACAUGGCAGUUUUAAAUGGCGUGCUGAUCGUACAAACACGGUGUUCUUUAGAAAACCUUGAAGUAAUAUGAAGGUUUUGACUGGAGCUUUGUUAUUUUGCUGUGUCUUUCCAAAGUUUCCGGUUUACACGUGCCUGUCAAAUGCUUUAGUCUUGUGUUAAAACCUCGCAUGUUUAUACAGACAUCUUUUGCGGUUAGAAUUAUUUCAACCCCCCCCCCUCCUCAAGAUAAAAUUAUUUAUAAUUUUUGUGUAGCGAACAUGAAAAGUGAUGUGUUAAUGCUUGUGAAGUGUUGUGUCAUUCUCCUUAUGGAACGUGUGAAGAAUUUUUUGUAUACUUUACUAAGAGCGAUGUACCUGUAUACUAUAAGAGUGUGAGUGAUACGUUCAAAGUAGAAGAGGAUUUCCUUCAGUGUUCUUCAGACGCAACUCCAUGGGGCAUUUGGUUACCUUUGAACUUCAAAAGCUGUUUCGUCGCCAACGCCUGCUUCGUAAAAGGAUCAGUGGACUGAUUUAGCGAUCGGUGAAUCAGGUACGAACCAGAUUUUAAACCUAACAAAACAACGAAAGCGACUACUGUAUCAUAGAGACCUGCGCCUAGAUCCUUGUAAUCUUCGUGAAAAAAUGGAGCAGGGUAAUUUCUGCAAAUCACACUACUUU